CCAUGCCGUAAACGAUGAGCACUAGGUGUCGGGCAAAAGCUCGGUGCCGGCGUAAACACAAUAAGUGCUCCGCCUGGGGAGUACGUUCGCAAGAAUAAAACUCAAAGGAAUUGACGGGGACCCGCACAAGUAGCGGAGCAUGUGGUUUAAUUCGAAGCAACGCGAAGAACCUUACCUAAGCUUGACAUACCUUUGCAAGAUAAUCGUAAAGAUAAUCCCUGUACUCGUACACAAAGGAUACAGGUGGUGCAUGGUUGU
Molecule: ribosomal RNA, 258 nt
Filed under: uncultured bacterium
Lineage: Bacteria
Description: partial 16S ribosomal RNA
Rfam family: Bacterial small subunit ribosomal RNA
Source: RNAcentral